AUGGGGCGGAUAUGGGCACGCCCGCCACGUCGGACCCGACAGCCCGACCCCACCGCAAAUUGCACCAAAUCCACCCCCAAGACCUGCCGGAUCCAUUUGAUAUCUCCUCUCUUCCUCCUCCGCACCGUCCGUCUCGCAGCUCCGCCACGCGCCCGCUCCGCAGCCAAUCCUAGCCUCUGCGCCGCCAGCUCCGGCAGAGCAGUCCUCUCUCCCGUCCUCGCCGCGGGGGACGUCGUCGCCGGCCAGGACGUCACCGCGGUACGGCCGGCAACUCUCUGGCUCCACCUUGCACUUGAUGUGUUCGACACAUUGUCCGACCGGAUUUUUUGUGAUUUUAUUAGGAAAACGAUGGAUUCCGAUGCUUCGUCUGACGAGGAGUAUGAACCGACGGAGCUUGAUCAAAUGAUACAAGAUGAGUUCUUCGAUUCCUCGGAUUCGGACGAAGAAGUGGACAUGAUCAUGCUCAUGAGCAUGCAAGAGGACAUCAGGUGCACACGCAGCUACUGA
RNAcentral lists this ribosomal RNA (507 nucleotides) under Triticum aestivum (bread wheat). Its description in RNAcentral is "partial small subunit ribosomal RNA". Lineage: Eukaryota; Viridiplantae; Streptophyta; Magnoliopsida; Poales; Poaceae. The record is from RNAcentral.